Molecule: small nucleolar RNA, 138 nt
Filed under: Ornithorhynchus anatinus (platypus)
Lineage: Eukaryota; Metazoa; Chordata; Mammalia; Monotremata; Ornithorhynchidae
Source: RNAcentral
CCCCUCUCAGGGUCACACCUGGAGAGUUUUCAGUACUCUACCAGUCUUGACUAUGGGAGGGAGAGUCAAGGAGAGGUAUACCCAUUCCAUUCCUAGCUUGGGCAAUGGCUAGUGAGUGGAAGGCAAUCUGCUACAAGU